Molecule: ribosomal RNA, 497 nt
Filed under: uncultured bacterium
Lineage: Bacteria
Description: partial 16S ribosomal RNA
Rfam family: Bacterial small subunit ribosomal RNA
Source: RNAcentral
GAUGAACGCUGGCGGCGUGCCUAAUACAUGCAAGUCGAGCGAACGGACGAGAAGCUUGCUUUUCUGAUGUUAGCGGCGGACGGGUGAGUAACACGUGGAUAACCUACCUAUAAGACUGGGAUAACUUCGGGAAACCGGAGCUGAUACCGGAUAAUAUUUUGAACCGCAUGGUUCAAAAGUGAAAGACGGUCCUGCUGUCACUUAUACAUGGAUCCGCGCUGCAUUAGCUAGUUGGUAAGGUAACGGCUUACCAAGGCAACGAUGCAUAGCCGACCUGAGAGGGUGAUCCGCCACACUGGAACUGAGACACGGUCCAGACUCCUACGGGAGGCAGCAGUAGGGAAUCUUCCGCAAUGGGCGAAAGCCUGACGGAGCAACGCCGCGUGAGUGAUGAAGGUCUUCGGAUCGUAAAACUCUGUUAUUAGGGAAGAACAUAUGUGUAAGUAACUGUGCACAUCUUGACGGUACCUAAUCAGAAAGCCACGGCUAACUACGUG